Long non-coding RNA from Triticum aestivum (bread wheat), 732 nucleotides. RefSeq lists it as uncharacterized. The record is from RefSeq and is a predicted model, not a curated record. The transcript is spliced from 2 exons. Lineage: Eukaryota; Viridiplantae; Streptophyta; Magnoliopsida; Poales; Poaceae.
ACUGCCCUCUCAUCCUUAUCUCAUCCUCUUGCAUUUCUCUUUCUCCUUUUUUUUCCAUUGCCAGUCAUGGGAGCGGUAGCCCCGACCUUGCUCAUCUCUUUCCUCUCUCUACUCCUCCCUCCCCUACCUCCCGAGCUACAGAGGGCUAUUGAGAGCGCGCGGUCAACACCCUUCAGAGAGCUGCUGCAAAAGGGGAAUUGCGCAGCCAGGAUGCACUCGUCACCAUUGGUCGCCCAGCGAAGCCCAGUGUUUUCAGGUAGGCGACGACGGGCUACAAGUGGGGCGGCACCGCCAACCACCUAUGCGAUUUCGCCGGCGAAGAUGCUGCUACCCCGGCGUGGCGGAGCUGCAACCGUAGUUCGGCGGAGCUACAACCGUAUGCUGGUGGAGUAGCAACCAGCAAGACAAAUGCCAGAACCGGCGGCAGCCGUGUUGUGAUGGCCACGACGGUGGUCCAUAAUUGCUGGAGCCAGCAAAAAAAAUUGCUGGAAGCGGUGAUUUUUUUGCUACGACCGUACUAACGAUGAUUCAUAGUUUUGCUGGAAACGUUAAGUACUUUUGCUGGAACCCUUUUCUUUUUUUUUUGUUGCAAGCAUAAUUUCUUCUUGUUAUCACCGUUUUGAUUCUUGGUGGAACAAACAUCCAUUACUUUUGUUACCAUGGUCUUGGAUUUUUGUUGGAACCAGAGUAUUUUUCUGCUACAACUAUUCUUUAGUUUCAUUGGAACAAACA